GAUCCUGGCUCAGGACGAACGCUGGCGGCGCGCCUAACACAUGCAAGUCGAACGAGCGAGAGAGAGCUUGCUUUCUCGAGCGAGUGGCGAACAGGUGAGUAACGCGUGAGGAACCUGCCUCAAAGAGGGGGACAACAGUUGGAAACGACUGCUAAUACCGCAUAAGCCCACGGCUCGGCAUCGAGCAGAGGGGAAAGGAGCAAUCCGCUUUGAGAUGGCCUCGCGUCCGA
RNAcentral lists this ribosomal RNA (230 nucleotides) under uncultured bacterium. Its description in RNAcentral is "partial 16S ribosomal RNA". It matches the Rfam family "Bacterial small subunit ribosomal RNA", at positions 15 to 240 of the family's 1533-position model. The record is from RNAcentral.